GAGUUUGAUCCUGGCUCAGAGCGAACGCUGGCGGCAGGCUUAACACAUGCAAGUCGAGCGGGCCCUUCGGGGUCGAGCGGCGGACGGGUGAGUAACGCGUGGGAACGUGCCUUCUGGUUCGGAAUAACCCUGGGAAACUAGGCUAAUACCGGAUACGCCCUUUGGGGAAAGGUUUACUGCCGGAAGAUCGGCCCGCGUCUGAUUAGCUAGUUGGUGGGGUAAUGGCCUACCAAGGCGACGAUCAGUAGCUGGUCUGAGAGGAUGAUCAGCCACACUGGGACUGAGACACGGCCCAGACUCCUACGGGAGGCAGCAGUGGGGAAUAUUGGACAAUGGGCGCAAGCCUGAUCCAGCCAUGCCGCGUGAGUGAUGAAGGCCUUAGGGUUGUAAAGCUCUUUUAUUCCGGGACGAUAAUGACGGUACCGGAGGAAUAAGCCCCGGCUAACUUCGUGCCAGCAGCCGCUGU
RNAcentral lists this ribosomal RNA (466 nucleotides) under uncultured microorganism. RNAcentral describes it as "bacterial SSU rRNA". It matches the Rfam family "Bacterial small subunit ribosomal RNA", at positions 9 to 521 of the family's 1533-position model. The record is from RNAcentral.